GAUGAACGCUAGCUACAGGCUUAACACAUGCAAGUCGCGGGGCAGCAUGGGGGUUGCUUGCAAUCCCCGAUGGCGACCGGCGCACGGGUGAGUAGCGCGUAUCCAACCUGCCCUUCACCACGGGAUAACCCGGCGAAAGUCGGAUUAAUACCGUAUGUUGUCCAUUGACGGCAUCCGAUUUGGACGAAAGGCUUGGCGGUGAGGGAUGGGGAUGCGUCCGAUUAGCCAGACGGCGGGGUAACGGCCCACCGUGGCUACGAUCGGUAGGGGUUCUGAGAGGAAGGUCCCCCACACUGGAACUGAGACACGGUCCAGACUCCUACGGGAGGCAGCAGUGAGGAAUAUUGGUCAAUGGGCGUAAGCCUGAACCAGCCAAGUAGCGUGCAGGAUGACGGCCCUAUGGGUUGUAAACUGCUUUUAUGCGGGGAUAAAGUGGCCCACGUGUGGGCUUUUGCAGGUACCGCAUGAAUAAGGACCGGCUAAUUCCGUG
Molecule: ribosomal RNA, 490 nt
Filed under: uncultured bacterium
Lineage: Bacteria
Description: partial 16S ribosomal RNA
Rfam family: Bacterial small subunit ribosomal RNA
Source: RNAcentral